This 439-nucleotide ribosomal RNA is filed under the name uncultured bacterium. Its description in RNAcentral is "partial 16S ribosomal RNA". It matches the Rfam family "Bacterial small subunit ribosomal RNA", at positions 339 to 795 of the family's 1533-position model. The record is from RNAcentral.
CUACGGGGGGCACCAGUGGGGAAUCUUGGACAAUGGGCGCAAGCCUGAUCCAGCCAUGCCGCGUGAGUGAAGAAGGCCUUAGGGUCGUAAAGCUCUUUCGCCAGAGAUGAUAAUGACAGUAUCUGGUAAAGAAACCCCGGCUAACUCCGUGCCAGCAGCCGCGGUAAUACGGAGGGGGUUAGCGUUGUUCGGAAUUACUGGGCGUAAAGCGCGCGUAGGCGGAUUAGUCAGUCAGAGGUGAAAUCCCAGGGCUCGACCCUGGAACUGCCUCUGAUACUGCUAGUCUUGAGUUCGAGAGAGGUGAGUGGAAUUCCGAGUGUAGAGGUGAAAUUCGUAGAUAUUCGGAGGAACACCAGUGGCGAAGGCGGCUCACUGGCUCGAUACUGACGCUGAGGUGCGAAAGUGUGGGGAGCAAACAGGAUUAGAUACCCCGGUAGUC